CGUAAUAGCUCACUGGUCGAGUCGGCCUGCGCGGAAGAUGUAACGGGGCUAAACCAUGCACCGAAGCUGCGGCAGCGACACUGUGUGUUGUUGGGUAGGGGAGCGUUCUGUAAGCCUGUGAAGGUGUACUGUGAGGUAUGCUGGAGGUAUCAGAAGUGCGAAUGCUGACAUAAGUAACGAUAAAGCGGGUGAAAAGCCCGCUCGCCGGAA
Molecule: ribosomal RNA, 210 nt
Filed under: Escherichia coli
Lineage: Bacteria; Pseudomonadati; Pseudomonadota; Gammaproteobacteria; Enterobacterales; Enterobacteriaceae
Description: partial 23S ribosomal RNA
Rfam family: Bacterial large subunit ribosomal RNA
Source: RNAcentral